CAGGAACUCAAAUCCCAGUUGAGUAGAGGAGGAAAUUCUCAAGUGUACAGGGCAUCUUUGUUGGCAACUUAUUGGAUUCAUGGCCACUUAACAAACUCUGUAAGUCAGCUGGCGGCAGAGGCCACUUACUCAUUGCUGAGCCAAGUAUCUUAGAGGCUCGGCUUCAAGGGAUGAUGAGAAUUUACCUGCUUAUUCGUGAGGCAAAGGGGAUUAAUCUAGGCCUAAACAAGGCCAAGACAAAGCUGAUUGACUGACUGCGUGGUUUGAUGGAAAAUAGGAGAUAUUUCCAGAGAACAGAUGACAAUCCAUUUGGCAAGUCUCCAAUUUGAUUUGCUGCCAAUAGAUUCAGAAAUGGAAGUCAAAGAAGAUAGGCAUUUCAAGAAUGGACUAUCUUAAUUUGGAAAACAUGACUUUUUACUUAUUGAAAAGCUUACUGAUUUUCUGUUGAUUUCUGUAAGCAACAAAAAAAGUUAUUUAAAAGGUUAAGGGGUUUCUUAAGAGACUGUCAUUAUCCAUGCAAUGCCUGUUGUUUCUUGGCAUAAGAAUGCCCCUAUGUAGUUUUAGAUUCUAUAACAUUGACAUAAUUCCUAACACAAUCAUGGAUAUAAAGCAAUAUCUAUUAUGGUGCUUCUUUUAGAUAUGGUGGUUUUUAAAAGUUAUGUCAUUUAAAUCUCUAAUAACCCUGUGAAAUAAAUACUAUGGUUGCAUAUAGUAAAAAUCUAACAAAAAUACUUUAUUGUUAAACUUGGCAUUAUAUUGAAUAUUUUUCUAUAAAAUUUGACCAGUCAACUAUCUAUAU
This 799-nucleotide long non-coding RNA is filed under the name Equus caballus (horse). RNAcentral's name for it is "lncRNA (ENSECAG00000048696.1)". The record is from RNAcentral. Lineage: Eukaryota; Metazoa; Chordata; Mammalia; Perissodactyla; Equidae.